This is a long non-coding RNA of Dendroctonus ponderosae (mountain pine beetle), 1779 nucleotides long. RefSeq lists it as uncharacterized. The transcript is spliced from 2 exons. Lineage: Eukaryota; Metazoa; Arthropoda; Insecta; Coleoptera; Curculionidae. The record is from RefSeq and is a predicted model, not a curated record.
AAUUUUAACCAAUUUUAUUUGUAACCUGCUUAUUCUACAUCACUCAUCAGCCWAGUUGAACGGAUAUUUUCACAGGUUAAUCUAAUGAAAAUUUAGUCGAGAAAUAAGCUAAAAACGAGUACAAUUUCAUCUUUACUGACUCAUGUUUAUUUAGUCUUGCGAAUUUUAGUAUGCAAAAAACGCGCGAUUUUUUGGAGCCCUUUUUUUUGUGAUGAGGUUUUGGACCACCCAACCAGCUCGAGGUGUGCGUAACAGAGCAUUUCCAAAAUCUCACCAGAUGGAGCCCUUAAUAAUAAAAGAAAAAUGAGUCUACCGAUUUUCUACUGAAAAGUGUCGAGCUUAUCUACCGAAACUCGAUUUUCGGACCUGGCAACCCUGUGGGGAAGCGAGUCGAACUCCGGCGAACGGUUUCCGACUGUGCGCUCUCGUGUAAUGACAGUUCUGCGUUAAUAAUGUUUGCUCAGACCGUGAGCGCGCUGUUUCGCGCUUCUGAGCUGAUCUCAGCUGAUCGAAGAAGUUAUUUUCAUGCUUGCCAGGUCUACCGUUUUUACGGUGGAUCUCUGUUUUCAUGAGAGCUCCUGCUCUACCGCUAUCAGAACCUACUACUAAACGUUACGUUAAAUACUUUAAAUCUAACUAUUAUAUAUUACACUAUUUGUCAACAAAUCAACUACAUUGCACUGCGAUUGGCGAUUGGAUUACAUGUUUUUUCUUUCGUUUUUCGUUUCCUAAAGCGCGCCUCGGAGCUUCGCUGACACCUUCUUGGCUGAAGACCACUUAAAAAGUUCGAAACGCUCAAAUUUACGAACAUUUAAUUAUCUCCCGUUUUGUUUUUAAAUCUAUUCUAUAACUAUCUAUCUAAUCUAUGUUUUUCAUGUCUAUUCUACCGCUUUUGUAGUACUUGACCUGGCAACACUGGUCAUGUUGUGAAAAUUUUAACCAUAUUUUUCCAAAAACAAAACAAAAUGGUUGCUUAAGUGAUUCUAAUUUGCUUCACAGGAAUUCACAAUGCACAGAUGUUUCGUCGGCUUUUAUGUUUGGUGGUUUUUACAACCAGUCUUUUACAUUAUCGGUUUUCCAAUAGCGGUAGGAAAUAUUUCUUCGAUCGAUCAUAUUUGAUCGUCAUACUCAUAAAGACAAGCCCGGAGUAUAGAUUAUGAGUGAAGUAUUUCAGUGCUUAUUUUAACAAAUAUCUUAAAUGGAACAUAAGUGUGGAUGUUAUUGCUAAUAAGGCAAAAAGGCACUUUAUAUUUUAAGAUGCAUCUCAUUUAGAUUUCGAAGCAGCCCUCUUGAAACUAGUUAACCAAAAAACGCUCAACCAAUAAGCUGAAUGUAGUUUAAUGCGGAGGCCUUUAUAUUUGCCUGCUUUACACGAGAUCCACCCCUAGAGCAGCAUUCUUGGCUGCUGCUCUACCUAUGGUGGAGUGGGAGCAGAAAGGGAAAGUUGCUGCUGUAAAAACGAAAUCUCUAUCUAUGGAUAUUCAAAUUUGAAGAUGAAAAUCCGGUUUGCUGAAAUGUUCUUUGUUACACGUAUGUACCGAUGCUCUUAGUUAUAUGAGCAUCUAAUUUAUUUAAAGAUGAAUAGGUAGCACCUUUUAAGAAAGGUUAUCGUAAUUGAGCUGCUAUAAAGAUGUUCAGCCGAUUAUUGAUACCUUGCUUUAUAACGAUUACAAAUGUCCGCCAAAAACCAUUUAUUUUAUUUAUUAUAACUUAUAUUUUCCAAUGUGUAAUGUAUGUAACAAGUGUGCAAAAUAUCAAUACGUAUUUAUGCAAUUGCUU